RNAcentral lists this ribosomal RNA (421 nucleotides) under uncultured bacterium. Its description in RNAcentral is "bacterial SSU rRNA". It matches the Rfam family "Bacterial small subunit ribosomal RNA", at positions 29 to 444 of the family's 1533-position model. The record is from RNAcentral.
AACGAACGCUGGCGGCGCGUCUUAAGCAUGCAAGUCGAACGAAUGGCCACCCUCGGGUGGUCGGAAGUGGCGGACGGGUGAGUAACACGUGGGUAAUCUGCCCUCCGGUGGGGAAUAGCACAUGGAAACAUGUGAUAAUACCGCAUGAUACGGUCCUGCACAUGCAGGAUCGGGAAAGCUCCUGCGGGAGCGCCGGGGGAUGAGCCUGCGGCCCAUUAGCUGGUUGGCGGGGUAAAGGCCCACCAAGGCGACGAUGGGUAGCCGGACUGAGAGGUUGAACGGCCACAUUGGGGAUUGAGAACGGGCCCAGACUCCUACGGGAGGCAGCAGCUAAGAAUCUUCCACAAUGGACGGAAGUCUGAUGGGAGCGACGCCGCGUGGACGAUGAAGGCCGUGAGGUUGUAAAGUCCUUUUCGGGAGG